GGAUGUGAGGUUGAUCUGGCUACAACAUCUGUUACCCCAUUUGAUGCCCAUGGUUGGUUCAGCUAAUCUGUCUGGCUAGGCAGGUGUCCCCUUCCUCCCUCAGUGCUCCAUGUGCAUCCCUCCUGAAGCUGUGCUCAGUGAAGAGGACAACUUUCUCCAGUAGAAGAAAACUGGUCUUCUGUCAAGGCUAUACAAGUAGUUGUGUUCCUCUGCUAGUACCGCCAAACAGGCUCUCAAAAACAACACAACAGACAUGAACAGGCACUUCAUACGCACACAUACAU
RNAcentral lists this small nuclear RNA (284 nucleotides) under Nannospalax galili (Upper Galilee mountains blind mole rat). RNAcentral describes it as "7SK RNA (ENSNGAG00000007909.1)". It matches the Rfam family "7SK RNA", at positions 1 to 297 of the family's 331-position model. From Rfam's summary of the family: 7SK was discovered as an abundant small nuclear RNA in the mid-70s but a possible function has only recently been suggested. Two independent studies have found that 7SK RNA binds the CDK9/cyclin T complex (known as elongation factor P-TEFb). The record is from RNAcentral. Lineage: Eukaryota; Metazoa; Chordata; Mammalia; Rodentia; Spalacidae.